Long non-coding RNA from Mastomys coucha (southern multimammate mouse), 603 nucleotides. RefSeq lists it as uncharacterized. Lineage: Eukaryota; Metazoa; Chordata; Mammalia; Rodentia; Muridae. The record is from RefSeq and is a predicted model, not a curated record. The transcript is spliced from 3 exons.
AUUUGCUAAGGGUCUUUAUUUGCAAGAGGCCAGAAAUACAUGAAUUCUUCCUUAUGGAAUAGCUGUAUUAUCGCUGUUUGCAUGUGAGUGAACCUGAGGCUUAGAGAGGUCUAGAGUGGAGCCAAUAGCUACAGAAUUCUCACGGGCACAGAGUCAUGCCAGUGGGCUAUGAAUUCCCAUUAAACACAGCAUGAAGCUUCUUAUGUUGGAACCUGAUCCCUAGCAACAGAAACCCUAACUAAGACAGUGGUGCAUCCAUAUCAUGGGAUAUUGCUCAGCAGUAAGAAGGUACAAAUGACUGACAUCUUCAACAAGCUUGAUGAACCUCAGAAGCAUUAUGCUCAGUUUUGGGAAGGAGACCCAAAAGACUACACACAUACUGUGCAACUUUUUAUAAUGACCUGGAAAAAGUAUAACUUCAGGUACAAGGUUACCCAUGAUUGAUAGGAAGUGGAUGGUGCAAGGCAACAAACGCACCCUGAAGUGAUCAAAAAAUAUUAGAUUUUUGUAUUGUUAAGUGGCUUCAUGUAUUUUUGUCAAAAUCAUUAACUAGUGCAUUCAUGAAGGAUGCAUUCCUCAAUAAACCCAUUUUAAGGAGAAGCG